Molecule: transfer RNA, 74 nt
Filed under: Colaptes auratus
Lineage: Eukaryota; Metazoa; Chordata; Aves; Piciformes; Picidae
Description: tRNA-Trp
Rfam family: tRNA
About the family: Transfer RNA (tRNA) molecules are approximately 80 nucleotides in length. Their secondary structure includes four short double-helical elements and three loops (D, anti-codon, and T loops). Further hydrogen bonds mediate the characteristic L-shaped molecular structure. tRNAs have two regions of fundamental functional importance: the anti-codon, which is responsible for specific mRNA codon recognition, and the 3' end, to which the tRNAs corresponding amino acid is attached (by aminoacyl-tRNA synthetases). tRNAs cope with the degeneracy of the genetic code in two manners: having more than one tRNA (with a specific anti-codon) for a particular amino acid; and 'wobble' base-pairing, i.e. permitting non-standard base-pairing at the 3rd anti-codon position.
Source: RNAcentral
GAAACUUAGGAUAAUCCACCCAAACCGAAGGCCUUCAAAGCCUUAAAUAAGAGUUAGACCCUCUUAGUUUCUGC